Molecule: long non-coding RNA, 433 nt
Filed under: Ananas comosus (pineapple)
Lineage: Eukaryota; Viridiplantae; Streptophyta; Magnoliopsida; Poales; Bromeliaceae
Description: long non-coding RNA (ACOM_LNC019848)
Source: RNAcentral
CGGACCCCGAGAGCAUUCUUGUGCGCAGCAUUUUUCUGCCACACACCAAGCGUACGGGAACCGAUGUAACAUACCAGAUUUUGGUAUAAAAAUAAAAAUAAAUAAAAAUAGUGCGAGAAACCUUUUUUAUUGGAUUUGUAGAAGUAAAACAUAAGUCAAAAGUGAGUUGUGCUGAAAUCGGAAUGAAAACAAAAGAUUUAGAAUUUUCUGUUGAAAACGGGACAGAUAAAUUAGCAGAAAAUGCACAGUCUCAGAAAAUUAUGAAAAUUGGAGGAUAGGUCGGAAAUAUUUUUAUGAGGUUAGAUUUAAAGUUUCAUAUUUUUCUGACACCCGUAGAGUGAGAAAUAAAAUCCGACAGCUAUCUGAUAAAGAUUACAGUUCGGUACAAUUUUCGGUUACCAAAUGGGGUCGAAACUGAAAACUUAAAAUAUAU